GCGCCCGUAGCUCAAUGGUUAGAGCGUGCGAUUGCAGAUCGCAAGGUUGCCUGUUCGAUUCAGGCCGGGCGCU
RNAcentral lists this transfer RNA (73 nucleotides) under Dothistroma septosporum NZE10. RNAcentral describes it as "tRNA-Cys for anticodon GCA". It matches the Rfam family "tRNA". From Rfam's summary of the family: Transfer RNA (tRNA) molecules are approximately 80 nucleotides in length. Their secondary structure includes four short double-helical elements and three loops (D, anti-codon, and T loops). Further hydrogen bonds mediate the characteristic L-shaped molecular structure. tRNAs have two regions of fundamental functional importance: the anti-codon, which is responsible for specific mRNA codon recognition, and the 3' end, to which the tRNAs corresponding amino acid is attached (by aminoacyl-tRNA synthetases). tRNAs cope with the degeneracy of the genetic code in two manners: having more than one tRNA (with a specific anti-codon) for a particular amino acid; and 'wobble' base-pairing, i.e. permitting non-standard base-pairing at the 3rd anti-codon position. Lineage: Eukaryota; Fungi; Ascomycota; Dothideomycetes; Mycosphaerellales; Mycosphaerellaceae. The record is from Rfam by way of RNAcentral.